UUUCUUGUCGAUUCGAUUUUUCCAUCACCGACCCUCAACCGAGGGUGUCGGACAUCGCGACCCGUUUGCUUAGUCGAUGCUUAGGUACGUGAUAAAGUUCGUAUGUGCCAUCGCCUCGGCGGUGGUACGACGAUUACGCGUUACCAAUGCGUCGGCGCAGACGGUAGCUUUGCGCGUGGGUAAUCGGCGCGGUCCUUGCUUGUAUUCUCGUAAUGCAGGCGGUACUCGCGUCGACACCGGUCAGCGAUGAAUUUUCAGGUCUCUUUCCGACCCGUCUUGAAACACGGACCAAGGAGUCUAGCGUGCGCGCGAGUCGCGGGGCAUUCGAAGUGUCGUAGCUGCUUACGCAGCGAAUGCAUUUCGUAAUGAUACUAAACCCGUAUACGUGCAUUGUGCGAAGGCGUAAUGAAAGUGAAAGGCGACGCUUCGUGCGUCGCCAGGGGAAGAUGAUGAUCUGUGUACACGUUUCGCGGUCGAGUAUGUAUCGCGACCAGACAUCCGCAUUCCCAGGGCAUCCUAUCCGUUCGCCUGUGACUGGGGUUCGCCUCGGCCGCAGGUGAAUUGGGGUGCACCUACAGCGUGCACGCUGGUACCCGAAAGAUGGUGAACUAUGCCUGGCCAGGAUGAAGUCAGGGGAAACC
This 641-nucleotide ribosomal RNA is filed under the name Pulvinaria psidii. RNAcentral's name for it is "partial 28S ribosomal RNA". It matches the Rfam family "Eukaryotic large subunit ribosomal RNA", at positions 446 to 863 of the family's 3401-position model. Lineage: Eukaryota; Metazoa; Arthropoda; Insecta; Hemiptera; Coccidae. RNAcentral also lists the same sequence under 1 other name. The record is from RNAcentral.